UAAAAAAAUAAAAAUAAAAAUAAAUAAAAAUAGAGUCCACUGUUAUAUAUCUCACACAUCCGUAUUCAAGGUCUCUCUCUCAUUUUCUCGCGACCCUAACGGCCUACACUUCACAGAGCGCUUAGACUUGUCUGAUUUUAGGGUUUCUUUCUAAUUUAUUAUCUUCUUCGCGAAACCCUAAUCCUCGGAUCAGGUGAUACUUUUAUCUCCUACGAUCUCUGUUUUUCAUUCCAUUCUGUGCUAGCUAAAAUUCUUUUUUCUGUGUUAAUUUUUUGAAUAUUGGGUUUCCCGUUUGCUAUCAGAUCUUUGUAGCCUGAGUUUUCCGGUUUCAAUUUUUCUUUUUGGCUGGAAAGAUUGGAUUUUUUUUUUAUUCGUACCUUGAUUAUAGUUUCAUGCCUUGUAAGAACUGUUUUGUAAUUGGACUAGUUAAUUAGUAAGGAUUUAGCCCAAAAAAAAUGUUUUGAUAUGGUUUUUUUUGUUUUACAGUAAGUUUUGGUGAUUGUUGUUUUGUUAUAGAUUAUUGUUUGUGGUUAGGUGUGGUUAGCUUUGGAUAUGUGCCAUUGAUAGUAGUGCUAAUAUGCGGUUUUAAUCCUGAGACUGUUUGUAGGACUUUAAGAGGUGAUCAUUUCUCGAGAUUUAAUUAGUGGUUGUGAUAAUUUUUUUCCACUUUGAGUGGUGGCAUACUUUGCUGUCCUUU
Molecule: unclassified non-coding RNA, 697 nt
Filed under: Hevea brasiliensis (rubber tree)
Lineage: Eukaryota; Viridiplantae; Streptophyta; Magnoliopsida; Malpighiales; Euphorbiaceae
Source: RNAcentral